AUUGAACGCUGGCGGCAUGCCUUACACAUGCAAGUCGAACGGUAACAGGCCUUCGGAUGCUGACGAGUGGCGAACGGGUGAGUAAUACAUCGGAACGUGCCCGAUCGUGGGGGAUAACGAAGCGAAAGCUUUGCUAAUACCGCAUACGAUCUACGGAUGAAAGCAGGGGACCGCAAGGCCUUGCGCGAACGGAGCGGCCGAUGGCAGAUUAGGUAGUUGGUGGGAUAAAAGCUUACCAAGCCGACGAUCUGUAGCUGGUCUGAGAGGACGACCAGCCACACUGGGACUGAGACACGGCCCAGACUCCUACGGGAGGCAGCAGUGGGGAAUUUUGGACAAAGGGCGAAAGCCUGAUCCAGUCAUGCCGCGUGCAGGAUGAAGGCCUUCGGGUUGUAAACUGCUUUUGUACGGAACGAAAAGACUCUGGUUAAUACCUGGGGUCCAUGACGGUACCGUAAGAAUAAGCACCGGCUAACUACGUG
RNAcentral lists this ribosomal RNA (482 nucleotides) under uncultured bacterium. RNAcentral describes it as "partial 16S ribosomal RNA". It matches the Rfam family "Bacterial small subunit ribosomal RNA", at positions 30 to 507 of the family's 1533-position model. The record is from RNAcentral.